UUUAAAUACAACCAUAAAUUUCUAUAUCUAACAUCAUCUAUCUUACUUAAAUUUUCUAUGAUUAAUAUUUUUAUUGUUAUUAGAUGAUAAAAUAUAAAUAAUCCUUAUGCGUGACUUAUUUUUAAUUUUAAAUAAAACAGAUGGUCAAAUAUUUAAUACGGAAACUCAUAGCUAUACUUAAA
Non-coding RNA from Oryza glaberrima (African rice), 182 nucleotides. The record is from Rfam. NCBI's taxonomy places the organism in Eukaryota, Viridiplantae, Streptophyta, Magnoliopsida, Poales, Poaceae.